GAUGAAGAACGUAGCGAAAUGCGAUACUUGGUGUGAAUUGCAGAAUCCCGUGAACCAUCGAGUCUUUGAACGCAAGUUGCGCCCGAAGCCUCGGCUAAGGGCACGUCUGCCUGGGCGUCACGCAUCGCGUCUCCCCCAAACCGCCAAGGCGGAGGGGAAGGAAGAUGGCUUCCCGUGCCUCACCCGGGCGCGGUUGGCCUAAAUUUGGAGCCCGCGGCACUUAGCUCUCGCGGCGAUAGGUGGUGAACAAGGCCUUGGCCGUGCAAACAACCCGCUGCGAAGCUCUAUGUCACGUGCGCUCGUCGGACCCUUUGAAGUUGCCUUUGGUGACUUAAAACCUUUGCGACCCCAGGUCAGGCGGGGCUACCUGCUGAAUUUAAGCAUAUCAAUAAGCGGAGGA
RNAcentral lists this unclassified non-coding RNA (400 nucleotides) under soil metagenome. Its description in RNAcentral is "partial contains 5.8S ribosomal RNA, internal transcribed spacer 2, and large subunit ribosomal RNA". The stretch from base 1 to 120 matches the Rfam family "5.8S ribosomal RNA", at positions 35 to 154 of the family's 154-position model. The record is from RNAcentral.